This 497-nucleotide ribosomal RNA is filed under the name uncultured bacterium. Its description in RNAcentral is "partial 16S ribosomal RNA". It matches the Rfam family "Bacterial small subunit ribosomal RNA", at positions 28 to 507 of the family's 1533-position model. The record is from RNAcentral.
GAUGAACGCUGGCGGCGUGCCUAAUACAUGCAAGUCGAGCGAACAGACGAGGGGCUUGCUCCUCUGACGUUAGCGGCGGACGGGUGAGUAACACGUGGAUAACCUACCUAUAAGACUGGGAUAACUUCGGGAAACCGGAGCUAAUACCGGAUAAUAUAUUGAACCGCAUGGUCCAAUAGUGAAAGACGGUUUUGCUGUCACUUAUAGAUGGAUCCGCGCCGCAUUAGCUAGUUGGUAAGGUAACGGCUUACCAAGGCGACGAUGCGUAGCCGACCUGAGAGGGUGAUCGGCCACACUGGAACUGAGACACGGUCCAGACUCCUACGGGAGGCAGCAGUAGGGAAUCUUCCGCAAUGGGCGAAAGCCUGACGGAGCAACGCCGCGUGAGUGAUGAAGGUCUUCGGAUCGUAAAACUCUGUUAUUAGGGAAGAACAAAUGUGUAAGUAACUAUGCACGUCUUGACGGUACCUAAUCAGAAAGCCACGGCUAACUACGUG